AUUCUGAUCAUUUUCCAAGGCGUCCAGUGUGAUGUGGAGCUGGUGGAGUCUGGGGGAGAUGUGAUACAGCCUGGGGGAUCUCUGAGUCUCUCCUGCAAAGGUUCUGGAUUUACUUUCAGCAGCUACUACAUGCAUUGGGUCUGCCAGGCUACCGGGAUGGGAUUGGAAAGGGUUGCAAGAAUUAGCACUGGUGGAAGUACAUACUAUGCAGACUCUGGGAAAGACCGAUUCACCAUCUCUAGAGAUAAUGGCAACAGAAUGUUAUAUCUACAGAUGACUUCCCUUCAGACUGAGGACACAGCUGUGUAUUACUGUACAAGACACACAGUGAGGAAAAGGAAUCAAUUAGUCACUGCCUCCUCAGCAAUGUUGACUCCAUUGGCACCAGAACAGAAACGUUUUGAAAAGAUUUUCAAUGCAGUCAUCAUUGUCGACAUCAUGGAGAGUGAAGAUUCAGCUCAUCUAAACUUAAUGAAAAGAACUGUGCUUGGUGUCUUGUCUAUCAAACUCUAUUUCUGA
This is a non-coding RNA of Phascolarctos cinereus (koala), 519 nucleotides long. The record is from the annotation of a RefSeq genome assembly. NCBI's taxonomy places the organism in Eukaryota, Metazoa, Chordata, Mammalia, Diprotodontia, Phascolarctidae.